Molecule: non-coding RNA, 51 nt
Organism: Schistosoma mansoni
Lineage: Eukaryota; Metazoa; Platyhelminthes; Trematoda; Strigeidida; Schistosomatidae
Source: Rfam
AUCUAAGAGCUGACGAGUCCUUAAUAGGACGAAACGCGCGUCAAUCUGGAU